RNAcentral lists this unclassified non-coding RNA (307 nucleotides) under uncultured Ascomycota. RNAcentral describes it as "sequence contains ITS1". The stretch from base 1 to 105 matches the Rfam family "5.8S ribosomal RNA", at positions 50 to 154 of the family's 154-position model. Lineage: Eukaryota; Fungi; Ascomycota. The record is from RNAcentral.
GAAAUGCGAUAAGUAGUGUGAAUUGCAGAAUUCAGUGAAUCAUCGAAUCUUUGAACGCACAUUGCGCCCUUUGGUAUUCCGAAGGGCAUACCUGUUCGAGCGUCAUUUGAACUCUCAAGCUUGGCUUGGUUUUGGGCGUCUGUCGCUGCGUGCAGCGACUCGCCUUAAAGUGAUCGGCUGCUAGUACCUUGACUACGGCGCACAGUACAGUGUUGCUGCCGGGUCGUCUGGUGCCUGGGUUGGCCGUGCAAACACCCUUUUUCUUGAAUUUGACCUCGGAUCAGGUAGGAAUACCCGCUGAACUUAA